Molecule: transfer RNA, 57 nt
Filed under: Eucoleus annulatus
Lineage: Eukaryota; Metazoa; Nematoda; Enoplea; Trichinellida; Capillariidae
Description: tRNA-Glu
Source: RNAcentral
GAUCUUUUGGUGAAAUUAUAUCACAAUGAGAUUUCAACUCAUAGUUACCAAGAUUAC